This 3418-nucleotide small RNA is filed under the name Pongo abelii (Sumatran orangutan). RNAcentral's name for it is "retained intron". Lineage: Eukaryota; Metazoa; Chordata; Mammalia; Primates; Hominidae. The record is from RNAcentral.
AGAGCCUCUUCUCAUCCGGUUUUUUUCUCUGUUGUCAGGCCUCGCCGACCCAGCCCCUCAUGUUCCUCCCAAAGAGUCAGCUGGGAACAGCCAGUGGCACCUGCUCCAGGUAGGGGCACAGGAUCAGUGACAGCACUACUGUGCCAAGGACCUCUACUUUCCAGCAUCAUGUCUCCUGGGCUGCAGUUAGCUGUCCUUCCCCUCCAGAGCGUGCCAGCUGCAGCGGGAAACAAUGAGUGCCUCCGGGGCUGUCUUGCGUGCAGUCCUUGGAGGGCUGCGCCCUGUUCCAGCGGCAGGCCCUCCCCACCCACCCUCGGCUCACCACCCUUUCUGUUGCUCAUAGAGGGAACAGUCCGACUUGGACUUCUUCAGCCCCAGGCUGGGGACCGCUGCCUGUGGCGCCUCCAACGCUCCUCUGCUCCAGCCCUCAGCACCCUCCUCAAGCAGCUCCCAAGCUCCACUGCCGCCUCCCUUCCCAGCUCCUGUGGUCCCAGCCAGUGUUCCUGCCCCCAGUGCAGGCUCCUUCUUGUUUUCUACUGGAGUGGCCCCAGCCUUGGCCCCAAAAGUUGAGCCCGCAGUUCCUGGGCACCAUGGCUUGGCGUUGGGCGACAGCGCGCUGCACCACCUGGAUGCCCUUGAUCAGCUUCUAGAAGAGGCCAAAGUGUAAUGAGUGGGAGGAGAUGUGGGGUUGCUGAGGGUUGGGCCUGAAUGUGUCAGAACCAGAGCUAACUUUGAAGGGGUGGGGGUGCCUUGUCAGUCAGGCUGGAAGGCAAGGGGUGGGCCUGGGUAAGAGCAUGGCCAAGGGGCCUUGGGUGAGAGUCCUGCAGCUCUGGCUGGCUCUCUGAUGUGCUUUCCAUCCUUCCCACCUCCCAGGACCUCGGGCUUGGCGAAACCCGCUACCUCCCCUCUCAUCCCCACCACCACCCCAGCCAGGCCUCUCCUUCCCUUCUCCACGGGGCCCGGCAGCCCGCUCUUCCAGCCACUGAGUUUCCAGUCCCAGGGCAGCCCCCUGAAGGGGCCUGAGCUCUCCCUGGCCAGCAUCCACGUGCCCCUGGAAUCGAUCAAGCCUAGUAGGUGUUGGAGGAUUGAGGUGGGUGGGGUGGUGGGGCCUACAACCACGGACCUGUAGGACAUGCGACACGGAUGGAUCCAGGUACUCUUUGCAGGGGGUCCCUUAAAACCAGGCAGGCCUCCCUGCCUGCAUUCUGGGUCUUAAGCUCCUCACUGAGCGCCCCUCCCAGAUUCCGUUAGGAAGCAUUGGACUCAUCGUGACCGCGGAGUAGCCCUUUUCUCCUCACCGCUGGGGCUCUGUUGGGUGUCUCUGGUGCUGCUCCUCCCACACUCACAUGUCAUGUUCUUACAGGCAGUGCCCUUCCUGUGACAGCCUACGAUAAAAACGGCUUCCGCAUCCUCUUCCACUUUGCCAAGGAGUGUCCCCCAGGACGACCUGACGUGCUGGUGGUGGUGGUGUCCAUGCUGAACACGGCUCCCUUACCUGUCAAGAGCAUCGUGCUGCAGGCUGCAGUGCCCAAGUCAAUGAAAGUGAAGUUGCAGCCACCUUCUGGGACAGAACUCUCUCCAUUUAGCCCCAUCCAGCCACCUGCAGCCAUCACCCAGGUCAUGUUGCUGGCCAAUCCACUGAAGGAGAAGGUGCGGCUUCGGUAUAAGCUGACCUUCGCCCUGGGGGAGCAGCUGAGCACAGAGGUGGGCGAGGUGGACCAGUUCCCUCCUGUGGAGCAGUGGGGGAACCUAUGACCCCAGAGGACGCUGUGAUCUCCACCUUGAAGCCAGGCAGGCUGCCCUGAGACGAGGAGGGCUCUGGUCCCGUCACUCUCCAUGCCCUGACAACAGUGCUUGUAGCUUUGAUGUGGAACAGGGGCCCUGGGCAUUUCUGCUGAGAACCAAACUGCUGCUGUGAUAACCUCUCCUUUGGCCCCUAAAAGGACCUGUUUUUAUCUUCCUGUGUGAGUUGAAGUGGCCAUAUGCUGUCAGGGGUGGGGAGUGGCCCCUGACUUCACUGCUGUCCCGGGAACACGGACCCCCAGGCUUGGCGUAGGUGUUUGCUUCCUUCUACUGGCAUUCACUGAAGCCACCGGGGUGGGGGUGGGAGUCUCUAAAGAGAGACUGUCAUGGGUCAUUCCCCACAAGAGCCACAUCCUCACACCUGACAGAUGCACGGCCCAAGGGGCUGCAGCCCUGUUGCAAUUCCAUGCUUCCCCCGCCAGCCAGCUCCUGCUGCCAUCCCCAGGGAGGUGGCCCAGAAUAAAGAACUGGCAUACUGCAAAGUCCCCAGCCCUGCCUCUGGUGGACAGCAUCGUCCUGGAAUGGCCACGGAGUGAUGAGCUGUGUGCUUGUCUCUGGCAGUGGCAGGCUGUGUCCUAUGGACAUCUUGGCAGGACAUGGAAUUUGGCCUCAUGACAGGCCCAACUAGGCAUAGGAAGGAAAACGAAGAGAGCCAGUAUUUCCCCUUCUCCAGAAGCAGGUACUCAGCUUUCUGGGAAAAGCGUGCCUCCAGCCAUGGGGACCGGCCAUCCUACUGACUACCUCUUGCUUGGCAUGAAAUAAACUGCUAUCCUCCCCUUGGAAUCUACCGCCACUCUACAUCCUACUGCUUUGGCCUCCCUCUCCUCUCACCAGAUGGCAUGUGGUGUUGCACUUGUGGCUGGACACAGGAGGCCUCAGGAUCACAAAUGUUGCACUAGACAUAUAUCCUAAUGUGCUGCCCAGAAACCUCAACUGUUCCCCAGCUCCUGAGGGGCACUGUCAGCGAGAUGCUGGGUCUGGAGGUGAUGAGAUCAGGGGCCACACUUGAGCCGAGUCACCAGACCCUAUUGCUUCAACAGUGCUUGGCCCCAGCCAGCUUGUCCCGGCCACUCUAGCUGCUGGAUGUGAUCCUGGGACAUGGACUCCAAGCCUCCCUCACAAAAAAAAAAAGAAACAAUCACCAGCUGCCAUAGACACGGGGGAAGCUUGUGGAGCUCAGGUGAACAAGCUCAGCAAUCAGACAUCUCUGGGGAAAGGAAGGUGGCACAGACCACGUUCCCUGGUUCCUCCCUGCCCCUUGCCAGGCUUCCUUAUUCCUUACUAUGGAAGAGGUCAUAUCCCUUCCCUGCCCCUCGCUGUCUUUAGCAAGCAGGUUUCACUGCUUCAUUAGAAGAGGACAGGUCAAAAGUGAAUCAUUUUUCACUACUUAAGGAAUAAAUCCAAGAGCUUUCCAGAGACUGGCUGCUGCAGCCCUGGGAAUGUCUGUGGAAUUACCAUGUGGAAAUGGAACUUUCUGUUACGCUCUAGACAUUACAAUUACUUGAGUGUUACUCGUUACUACUGAGGUCAAUGCUUCGUGGCAAAUGGCUGUACUGGAUGUACCAACUCUGCUGCCCUUGUUUUGCUGCAUGUUAAAUAAAACCAUUUUCACUGU